Molecule: ribosomal RNA, 598 nt
Filed under: Metapseudomonas lalkuanensis
Lineage: Bacteria; Pseudomonadati; Pseudomonadota; Gammaproteobacteria; Pseudomonadales; Pseudomonadaceae
Description: bacterial SSU rRNA
Rfam family: Bacterial small subunit ribosomal RNA
Source: RNAcentral
AUGCAGUCGAGCGGCAGCGGGUCCUUCGGGAUGCCGGCGAGCGGCGGACGGGUGAGUAAUGCCUAGGAAUCUGCCUGGUAGUGGGGGAUAACGUUCGGAAACGGACGCUAAUACCGCAUACGUCCUACGGGAGAAAGUGGGGGAUCUUCGGACCUCACGCUAUCAGAUGAGCCUAGGUCGGAUUAGCUAGUUGGUGGGGUAAAGGCUCACCAAGGCGACGAUCCGUAACUGGUCUGAGAGGAUGAUCAGUCACACUGGAACUGAGACACGGUCCAGACUCCUACGGGAGGCAGCAGUGGGGAAUAUUGGACAAUGGGCGAAAGCCUGAUCCAGCCAUGCCGCGUGUGUGAAGAAGGUCUUCGGAUUGUAAAGCACUUUAAGUUGGGAGGAAGGGCAGCUAGUUAAUACCUGGUUGUUUUGACGUUACCAACAGAAUAAGCACCGGCUAACUUCGUGCCAGCAGCCGCGGUAAUACGAAGGGUGCAAGCGUUAAUCGGAAUUACUGGGCGUAAAGCGCGCGUAGGUGGUUCAGCAAGUUGGAGGUGAAAUCCCCGGGCUCAACCUGGGAACUGCCUCCAAAACUACUGAGCUAGAGUAC